AGCAGAGCCGCAGCAGCAACAGCCACCAAAGAGGGGGCUGAAAGGGAAGAGAACUUAGAUUUGACCUGUGCAAGGACCUCAGCAGCUUGGACACAGCCCACUGCAGAGAUGAAAGGAGAAGCUGGACAUAUGCUACACAAUGAAAAGUCAAAGCAGGAGGGACACAUCUGGGGCUCUAUGAGGAGGACAGCUUUCAUCCUGGGCUCUGGACUUCUCUCAUUUGUGGCCUUCUGGAACUCAGUGACAUGGCAUCUUCAGAGAUUUUGGGGUGCUUCUGGCUACUUUUGGCAAGCCCAGUGGGAGAGGCUGCUGACUACAUUUGAAGGGAAGGAGUGGAUCCUCUUCUUUAUAGGUGCCAUCCAAGUGCCUUGUCUCUUCUUCUGGAGCUUCAAUGGGCUUCUAUUGGUGGUUGACACAACAGGAAAACCUAACUUCAUCUCUCGCUACCGAAUUCAGGUCGGCAAGAAUGAACCUGUAAGUGUCGCAACUUCUCCUGGUCAAAGCACAGAAAGCAAGAGCUAAAGCCACACUCUCAGAAUUCUCACCACUGGCCCAGGAGAGACCUGGCCAGUGUGAGCCAAGUUAUUAGCAACAAGGCUCCCCCAGUUUAGAAGGUUAAAGAGAGGAAAUAAUUUGCCCACAACCUCAGAGUCACUCAGCUAGUGGCCAGUCAAGACCAAUGUUCUGCUCUCCUGAUUCCUGGCCCAGGCUCUGGACCUGCCUGUGGUGCCCCAUGGCACUGUGGUCAGCCUGGCACUGAGAAGGCAGGCAACUCCACUUUACCCAUAGGAAUGGAGACAGCAAUGGGUGGAUGCUAGAAUAUGGGUAACAGCUGUUGUUAUGAGAGAGGGAGACAGCUGCGAAAACAAUGGAUAACUCCACUAUAAUAGACGGAUAGUAUGGAUUCUGAAUGUGUGGGCGGUGGCUGUCUUUUAAACAAGUCCUCCU
This 948-nucleotide small RNA is filed under the name Pan troglodytes (chimpanzee). RNAcentral describes it as "retained intron". Lineage: Eukaryota; Metazoa; Chordata; Mammalia; Primates; Hominidae. The record is from RNAcentral.